GGGAGGGCUCGGGGUGGGGCCGGGGCUCUGUGAGGCACUGCUGCAGAUGUGGAAGUGUCUGAGCUGGAGAUAUGCAGAGAACAUCUGAAUUCCAUACUUGCCCCUUGUGCAAUGAAGAACUAAGUUGCACGCGAGGGGAGCAGUAUUUAUAAACUGUCUCCAUAUUUCCCUGUCAUUCUGGCUGUUUGGAUUUAGCCUGGGCUUAUCAGCUAGAUCAUAAACAAGCCAACCCAGCUCCUGAACUCUCAAUGAAAUGCUUCUACAGACAGACAAGCUAGUAAUGAUUCCAAAGGAAAAAUUGUAAAUGAAGGCUAAUGAUUGCUGGGGAAUUUCCUUAGGAACUUCCUUAGGAAUGAUGAACUUCACACACAGAAUUUUGGAGGUGGAAUCCAAAUUUCAGCCUUGGGCACUUGCAGGAGAAGAGGGAUCCUUAUCCAUAGCAAGGAAAGUCUGGUGCCCCAGUGUGUCAAGUGCUGACAGUGAACUGUCUAGGGAAUGAGCAGCAAGUCCCCCCUGCCCUCACACUCAGAGCGGCAGCAGCCACAGGUGUCAGCUAUGAGAAUGAUGAGGACAGGGAACAAAGACAGCUGGGUGCUGUAACGAUGAUGAGGGGGCGGGUCCUCCCGAGGCUGCUUUAAGAGGGGGUGCCUCAGCUCAGUUCCGCAUGGAGCUGCUGGAAGAGAGAGGCUUAUGGUGGCCUCCCAGGCAUGUCUCAUGGAGUGAUGGUGAGAGCCUCUCAUUGGGUCUGGGGGAGCAACUGGAUGCACUUGGGUGUGGGGCUUUGCUUGAAGGAGGUGCUGGGGGGCAAACCUUUGUGCUAGACGGGGCAGCAGCCGGUGAGCCAGUGUGGGUUUGUACAGGGGACUUUCACCUUUUGCUUUUCAAUUUUAUCUUGCUAAUCCCUCCCUGCUGCCCCUGAAAAAAAUGGGGGUUAUGAGGACAAAGGAAGUUUAAAUUGAGGGAAGAAACUCCUGUUUUGUUAUUGUCUGUGUUUAAAUUGGUGAAAACCCCCCUUUGCCUAGGAUUUUAAUGAAUAGUAGUAUUUAAAUGUGGUUUUUAUUAAAUAUUAUGGUUUUUGGUGGUAUAUAGUGUUUUGCUUUAUUUUUUGGUUGUAUUUAUUAGAUGUAAUUUAGUUUUUGAGUGAAGAUAACUUAAUGGAUGAGUUUGUUUGUAUUUGAGAUAGAAUUAAUUCGAGUAGCUUUUUAAAUAGACUUCUGAUAAAUGUUAUUGAGGUUUUGUUUUUAUUUAUUGUAUGUAGGGAUUCAGAUUGGGUAGGGCUGGCUUGGGUGAUGGAGAUUUGGGUGUUUUGUUGGAUGCAGCUUUUAAUAUUUAAAAGUUUUUUCUGUUUAGUUUUUUUAAGGUGGUUUUUACUAUUUCACUGUGUAGAUUUAUUUUGUUUGUUGAUGGUGUAUGAUAAGGGAUACGGUCUAUUUAUUUAAUGUUGUAUUUCUUACUUCAGGUGUUGAUCAUGUUUUUUUUUUUAGACUGGGUUUUGUUGUUUGUUUUUUUUUAUGGGGUAUGAUAUGUUAAAGGAUAUGCUUUCUAAGGCUUACCAUGGUGUAAUGGGAUGUAAUAUGAGGUACAGGGUCUGCUUUCAGUCAUUUAGUGGUGUUUAUUGUUAUUGCGGUGAGUAUGUAGUGUUUUGGUUGGUUUGAGGUAGUGUGAUGUAGUUAAUUUGUUAGGAUUUUCUAAUACAUGUGGUUGGAUUAUUGUUUCUUUUAUUGCAAGGGUUUAUUCAUUUGGUUUAUUUGGUUGCAGUAUAUGUUUGAUAGGUUCAGAUAAUUUGGGAGAUACUGUUCAUGGUUAAAUUGAUCUUUUGGUUUUGUGUGUAUAUAUAGGUGAUUUUUUUGUUUGGAUGGUUUGAGGCAUUAUGGGUUUAUUGAAUUAGGAAUAAUAUUUUUGGUGUUGUUAAGUUUAUUUGUGAUAUUUUUAUAUUUGCGGCAUGAUUUGUUUGUUGUUUUGGUGGGUCUUAUUUGUUUUAUUUUUGCAAACAUGGCAGUGAUAUGGUGGAUUUUUUAGGUAGUUUUUUGGGGUAGUGACAUUCCUGUUUUGUUGCGGUGUGGAUUUUCUACUCUAAGUUUUCAAGCUAGCUUUCUAUUUCAUUUGUGUGUUAUGAUUUAAAUUAUACAUACUGUUAGGUGUCAAUCCUCUGUGCCCCUGCCUCUAUUUCUAGAGCUUUCCCUGCCAGUCUUUCUUAAAUCGAUAUAUCAUUUGCUGUUUCAUAUCAUCACACUGCUUCUGCUAUUCCCAUUGGAUUUUGUUCUGUACUCCCUGCCCUAAACCCCUCCCUGAGUGCAUUUUCAUUGGUUGCUUGCUUUGUAUUGCCCUGUCUAUAAAACGCACGGGAGGACACGUGCCCCCGGUCUUUGGGGUCCAGCUUUUAGUUGUUAUGCUUCAGUUAUACCUGUAAUAAAUCUCCUUAGUUUACCCCAAGACCCGUCUCGUCUUCACUUUGUCUCUGCGCGCAUAGACUGGCUGAACCAGAGUCCCGGUGGGGAAGUGAGAGCUCCCCGGGGGAAGGUGUCGCACCCCUGAAUGUCGCUGCGUGCCCUGGGGUUUAGGAAAACACGCACAGCGACACUGUUUACUAGUUUAGAUUUUUUCAUGUUGUUAAUUAGUUUGGGUUUUUUAGUUAUUUUAUAGAGUAGUGGUUAUUAUUUAUGAGUUAGUGUAGGUUUUUUUAGUUGUGUUUAGGGUCAGUUGUAGGUCAGUUUUGAGUUCAGCAAGUUGGAUUGAUUUAUAUCUUCUGCUAGUUUUUGUGAUUUGCUGUGUGGAAUUCUCUAUGGUUGUUUCCAGUUUUUGUUCUAUUUUUAUGAUGUGAUAAGAAUUGUUAGUGAAAAGACUCUAGUGUUCUUUGUUUGUAUGGUGGAGUUUUUUAGUUUGUGUUCGUUUUUUGGUUUUUUUUUGUUAAUGGUAAUAAAGAUUUUUUGGGGGGUUAAUUUGUGAUUACUUGAAAGAUUUUAGGGACAUUUAGGCUUUUUUAUGUGGGUGUGCUGUAUGAAGAGAGUAAUUUAUUUGUUUUAUGUGAUGUUGGUGGUGUGGUGGGUAGAGGGCCUUUUUGUAGUAGUUAUUUUAAAUGUUUGAGGGGUUUUGGCACUUUAGUUACAGUGGGACUUUUAAAUUUUAUUUUUAGUUAGUUUUUUUAGGUUUUAUUACAGUUAACAGUUGUGAUUUUUUUUGCUGUGUUAGUAAUAGAAGUGGAUUUUGAUUUUGUAUGUAGUGAUGGGAUUAUUGUAUAUGGCAUACUAGUGUUGACUGGGAUUUAAAUUUCUGUGGUUCUGAUGUGUUAGGUUAAUAUGUUUAUGUAUUUCAAAACACAUGGGAUUUUGCUUUUUGUUUGGUUAGAGACAGGCCUUUUUAAGUUUGGGGAGGUUCUGGAUGUAUAUUUGAGUUUUUUUAAAGGAAUUGGACGAGGUAUUAUUUUCAUUAUAUUUAGUAGUUUGAUUAUGGGUCAUCAGAGUUGGCUUUUUUUGGUGCAAUUUUUUUUGAGUUUUCUUUUUCAAAGUUCAUGUAUUUGUGUGGUUAGGGCAGUGGUGUUUCUGGUGUAACUCUAAGCAUCCAUUGUUGUUUGUGUGUUCCAGCUGCUCUGCUCGUAUUACAUUGAGACCCCCUUACAGAGCGGCAAACAGCUCUGCUGAGACCGUGCCCUGAUGUUUGGUUUUCUUUGUGAGAGCUGACUGAGACACAGCAGCCCGGGGACAGCAGGGAAUUCCCCAAGGGCAGGACGGCCUUCCUUUGCACCCGACGCAGAUUCUCGUUCCCGGAAGUCCCAGAGAUAAGUGGAGGGCUAUGAGCCACAGAGGGGAUGAAAGCAGGGUGCCGGGUGGGAACUCGCGGAGAGGGGUCUGGAGUCAGCUCUGCAGACCGGGAUGGCCCAGAUGUGACCCUUUAGGCCACAUCGAGGGAAAGUCUCCGUUUUGAUCACAGUGCUGAGGUGUGCAGGGCAGAGCAGUCCCAGGCCAUGUGGAGUCACUUGUCUGUUGUGCACUCUGUGUCUUUUGGGCGUCUCACAUGCAAUGUCUUCUGCCUUAGCUCUUCAAGGAGCCUCUUGGAAACACCAGGCAUCGUUCUUAUUACCUCCCUAUUCCUCAGCUCGGUGGCUUUGACUUGGGACCUCGCACGCACAUCAGAAUCACAUCUCUCUUCAGAAGCAUCCGGUCCCAGGUCUUUUCAGGUCUUGUUCUGAGCUGUACUGACAGCUGUGCACCGCAAUGAUCCAUUGUGGCGGAGUAGGCAUUGUAAGAAUGCCGAGCUAGGUCGAGGUAUCUGACCGUAGGUUUCUCGGGCAUCCAUCUUUGCGGUUCUCGGACGAAGCAGUUCUGCUGGCGUCUUCUUGCUGCCGGGUUCUUUGAGCGUCAUCGGCUCUACAUCGGUCUUACCUCGGUCAUCUCCUUCCGCAUUCUCUCGGCCCUCAGGGUCCUUCUUCUUGCCAAGCCUUUUCUCUCGCUGUUGCGUCCUUCUCGUUUGUGGUGUCCUGUGUCACGGGUGUUGGUGUGCGUUUGGCCCUGCGCUGCUCUGCCCUGCUGCGUAGCCUGGGUGUAGGGGUAAUAGGGCAUGUCCCGGGGACUUGAAGUUUGCAGUGUAGGGUGUAGUGGGAGCGUAGAGGGUAUUUUUAGGUGGGCACAAGAUGCCUGGAGGUUUUAAGUUAUCCUGCAGUGCUCUGACUUUUGUACUGACUUUCAGAUGCAGAUGGAUUAAAUCUGUGGCAGAGGGCCCCAUCCUGGGUGAGGGUGUUCUCCUCCUCCACUGCCUGAAGAAGAAGGUUGGUUGGUGUUGGUCUUGGCAGGGGAGGUGUGAAUGGUGGCUACAUUGCAGCAUUGUUCUUUGUGUUUAUUUUUAGGUACUAAAGCUGGGUAUUGGCAGUAAAGGUCAAUGAAGCAAGGUGAGCAGUGACUGGUGGAUAGAAGCAGUUUUUAUUGCUCAGGUCUUAAUUUCUGGUGCAGCUCUAAGCAUCCACUGUUGUUUUUUUAUUUUAGUUGGUUCACUUGCUGGAUGUCCCAGCCCUGGAUGCCAGAGGCCAGAUGGGUGUAAGCUUAAGGUACACUUGUGGCAUACCUUAGUUGGACUGGGGAGGUUGCUGUUUCACACUGUUUCAGCAUGCAUUUUUGCUUGAUUUCUUUGCAGGUGCUGCUGCUGCCCUAGGCAUGCCAAGGAACGGAGGAGAGCAGGUGAGGGGGCAUUUAGGCAGGGUCGCUCCUGGGCAAGGGGUUAAGCAUGUACCUUUUCAUUUUGCAGGUAUCCUCCGGGCAGCCUCUGGAGUCGAAUGUAGAUCUAAGAUGAGCCAGGACAGCAGUGUGGAGGAGACCUGGGGAUUAUUCUUCUGGAGGGGAUCGUCACAUUUUCAUUUUCAUGGUCCUAGGUGCCCUGUGGAGGUGCAGAGCUGAUUUUGGAUACGGCAGCACCGAAGCGGACACAGAGAAUGUCUCGAUGUUGACGGUCCUGAUGCGUUCUUUUCAAUCAAGAAUGGAUUUUGUCUACUCAUCUCCUGAAAGAUAAGUGUUGGGGCUGGUGGUCAGGAGCAGAGGAAAAACUUUUUCUGUUCUAGGAGGCAAUUUAAAGUUAGCUGAGACGAGAGGGCUGUAGAGGGAUGGACCAUUUGGAAGUAAAGGGAGAGCAUUUCUCCUCAGCCUCGUUGGAGCCUUCCCUGGCCAGGACAGUUCUGACCCCUCUCCGUGUUCUAGCGAGCUUUGUGGUGUCAGCUAUCUUCAGGAGUGCACAGGGUUAGGGUGCACCAGGGGAUGCCUGGCCCACCCUGGGAUCCGUGUCCUAGGAGGAACCCAAGUUGCAGGUUGUACGGUUCAGCAGGGGCACUUGACAGUGACACACAGAGGCUGAGGGAGGGCUUGAGAGGGAAAGGACUCAAGGGCUAGAGAGCACAGAGUGAAAAUAAGGGCUACAAGUUAGAAUACAGAUAUAUCAGCCCUCACAGCAGCCCCUCCCAACCCUUGUUGUUCUGAGAGUAGGUGCUGGCAGCAACCCUAAUGCAGGACAAUGCCAGAACUCGUGAGAAGUGCAGGCAGUAACCCUAAGGCUAGGGUGAGGCAGGAAGUGAUAGUGGGGAGCAGCAUCCGACAGGGUUGAGUAUAACCGGGGGUUUCCCGCCCCAGCCCACCCUGCGAUCGUCUGUCUCUCCGCAGCCGGGGAUUGCUGCCUGUCCCCGCUCGAGGCGACGGUCGGCUGGGCUUCGUGGCCAUUGCCACCGCAAAGAGCUCUUCAGCUCUGUCAGCCUCUGCCCUGACUCAGGGCCAUGCUUCGGAUAGGAAGGGCAAACUGUGGAUGAUGUGUCUCGCUUGCGGGACAACUCUUGGGACCCUAACGGUAAAGGCGCGUCCUCGGCUGCAAGCGUAGGGUUCUCGAGAAGUAGGGUUCAGCAGGGGCACUUGAUAGUGACACACAGAGCCUGAGGGAGGACUUGAGAGGGAAAGGACUCAAGGGCUAGAGAGCACAGAGUGAAAAUAAGGGCUAUAGCCAGGGAUACAAGUUAGAAUACAGAUAUACCUGCCCUCACAGCAUCCCUCCCAACACCCCUGUUUUUCUGAGAGUAGGUGCCGGCAGCAACCCUAAUGCAGGACAGUGCCAGAACUCCUGAGAGGUGCAGGCAGUAAGCUGAAGGCUAGGCGAGGCAGAAAGCAGCAGUGGGGUUGUGGAUUCCCCUGGGUUUUUUAUUAACAGGAUAUGCCCACCAUGGGAUCUGUGUCCUGCUCUGGUGAGUGGUCACUGCCCCAAAAACGCGAUGAGGACUUUGGCUCUGCAAGUUUGAGCCUCUGAGCGUUGCUAAAUCUAUUAUUCAAUGACCCAGGCAUUCAUAGAAGACAGUGAGUAGCAAAGGGGCAGGUGUUGGUAAUUGUGCUGCCAAGGCCUUGUGUUCACAUUUGGUUUCCUUUAUUGUAGCCGCCUGAGAGACGACAGCCCGGUACCAGUGGGAAAUUCCUCAAGGGCGAGGCGGCCUCGUUUUGCACCCGAUGCCGAUUGGCGUUCCCAGACAUCAAAGAGAUAAGUGGAGGGCUGUGAGCCACAGAGGGGGCUGAAAGCGGGGUGGCCAGUCAGGAGUCAGCAGGAGGGUUUUUUGAGUCAGAUUUGCAGUCUGGGAUGGCCAAGAUGUGGCCCCUUAGGGACCUAAAGGGAAAGUCUCACUUGAUCGAAGUGCUGAACUGUGCAGGGCAGAGCAGUCCCAGGCCAUGUGGAGUCACUUGUCUGUUGUGCACUCUGUGUCUUUUGGGCGUCUCACAUGCAAUGUCUUCUGCCUUAGCUCUUCAAGGAGCCUCUUGGAAACACCAGGCAUCGUUCUUAAUACCUCCCUAUUCCUCAGCUCGGCACCUUUGACACUCGGGACCUCGCACGCACAUCAGAAUCGCAUCUCUCUUCAGAAGCAUCCGGUCCCAGGUCUUUUCAGGUCUUGUUCUGAGCUGUACUGGCAGCUGUGCACAGCAGUGAUCCCUUAUGGCGGAUUAGGCCUCGUAAGAAGGCCGAGCUAGGUCGAGGUAUCUGACCGUAGGUUUCUCGGGCAUCCAUCUUUGCGGUUCUCGGACGAAGCAGUUCUGCUGGCGUCUUCUUGCUGCUGGGUUCUUCGAGCCUCAUCGGCUCACCAUCGGUCUUACCUCGAUCGCCUGCUUUCACAUUUUCUUGAUCCUUAGUCAUUCUGGAUCAUUCAUCUUGCCGAGCCUUUUCUCUCGCUGUUGCGUCCUUCUCGUUUGUGGUGUCCUGUGUCACGGGUGUUGGUGUGUGUUUGGCCCUGCGCUGCUCUGCCCUGCUGCGUAGCCUGGGUGUAGGAGUAAUAGGACAUGUCUUGGGGACUUGAAUUUUGCAGUGUAGGGUGUAGUUGGAGCGUAGAGGGUAUUUCUAGAUGAGCACAAGAUGCCUGGAGCUUUUAAGUUAUCCUGCAGCGCUCUGACUUUUGUGCUAACUCUCUUUAAGCUGCGGAUGGAUUAGAUCCAUGGCAGAGGGCCCCAUUCCAGGUGAGGGGCUCUGCCCCAUGCAGGUCAGUCACCAUUUGUCUUCAGAGGGGCAGCGUAAAUGGUGGCUGUGUUACAGCGCUGUUCUUUGCAUUUGUUUUUAGGAAGCAUGGCUGGAUAGCGGCAGCCAAGGUGAAGCAAACAAGGUGAGCGUUGAUUGGUGGACAGAAUCAGUUGCUGUUGCUCAAGUCUCUCUUGAUGGUGUAACUGUAAGUGUCCAUUAUGGUGUGUUUUAGGGGGUCCACUCGCAUCACGCCGAACUCCGCUCAGCGACCGGACGACGGAGCUGCUUCGCCUCUCUCGUGAGCCGUCGGGGAGCACGACAGGACUCCGUGAUGAAGCCUCCAUCUUCUCCGUUUGAAGGUGCCGUCCGGACUGCGGUAAGGGCCGAGGCGUUGCGGUGGGUCGGGGAGGUAGGGAGGAGGAGCGAGGGUCCACUCAAGUUUCAGCCGUGCCGCAUCACCUCGUCUCCUCUUAAGCCAGGUAUACCCUGUGACCUUGGCGUGGGGCUCAAGGAUCCGGGCCUUUUCGGGAGAUGGUGAGUAGCAGAAUUGUCAGGUGUUGGCAGUAGUGCUGCCAAGGCCACGUGUUCACGUUUGGUUUCCUUUAUUCUAGCCGCCUGAGAGACGACAGCCCGGUACCAGCGGGAAAUUCCUCAAGGGCGAGGCGGCCUUGUUUUGCACCCGAUGCCGAUUGGCGUUCCCAGACAUCAAAGAGAUAAGUGGAGGGCUGUGAGCCACAGAGGAGUUGAAAGCGGGGUGGCCGGUUGGGUUUUUUGAGUCAGAUUUGCAGUCUGGGAUGGCCAAGAUGUGGCCCCUUGGCCUACUAAAAGGUAAAGUCUCACUUUUGAUAGCAGUGCUGAACUGUGCAGGGCAGAGCAGUCCCAGGCCAUGUGGAGUCACUUGUCUGUUGUGCACUCUGUGUCUUUUGCGUGUCUUGCCUUUCGUGUCGUUGUCCCUACAAGGGGCCUUUUGGAAACCCUGGCUUGUGUCUUAGCAUUUGUAAUCUCUGCGUUCCUCAGCUCGGUGGCUUUGACUCGGGACCUCGCACGCACAUCAGAAUCACAUCUCUCUUCAGAAGCAUCCGGUCCCAGGUCUUUUCAGGUCUUGUUCUGAGCUGUACUGACAGCUGUGCACCGCAAUGAUCCAUUGUGGCGGAGUAGGCAUUGUAAGAAUGCCGAGAUAGGUCGAGGUAUCUGACCGUAGGGUUCUCGGGCAUCCAUCUUUGCGGUUCUCGGACGAAGCAGUUCUGCUGGCAUCUUCUUGCUGCCGGGUUCUUUGAGCCUCAUCGGCUCUACAUCGGUCUUAUCUCGGUCAUCUCCUUCCGCAUUCUCUCGGCCCUCAGGGUCCUUCUUCUUGCCGAGCCUUUUCUCUCGCUGUUGCGUCCUUCUCGUUUGUGGUGUCCUGCAUCACGGGUGUUGGUGUGCGUUUGGCCCUGCGCUGCUCUGCCCUGCUGCAUAACCUGGGUGUAGGGGUAAUAGGACAUGUCCCGGGGACUUGAAGUUUGCAGUGUAGGGUGUAGUGGGAGCGUAGAGGGUAUUUUUAGGUGGGCACAAGAUGCCUGGAGCUUUUAAGUUAUCCUGCAGCGCUCUGACUUUUGUCCUAAAUUUUUUUCAGAUGCGGAUGGAUUUUCCCCUGGCAGAGCACCCCAAGGAGGAAACGGUUGUGGGUGAGAGACUUGCACACUGAAGGCAGCUGGCAAAAGAGGAGAGAGCCCCUGCGAGGCAGAGCCCCUGGAAUGCCCUGUCCCGGUCUGAGGUUCCCACUUUUCUCUCCAACUCCCGGAGAAUUGCUGGAGCAGAACCAGAGAGAGUCCAUUUUAUUUCCUGCCUUUUCCAAUAAACGGUGACUUUCAGCUGGAGUGUGUUCCUGGUGUCAUCCUCCUCCUCCUCCUCCCUGGAUUUGUAAAUAAAUGUCCUGAUUUUGGCCAAGGAGAA
Long non-coding RNA from Prinia subflava (tawny-flanked prinia), 9888 nucleotides. RefSeq lists it as uncharacterized. The record is from RefSeq and is a predicted model, not a curated record. Lineage: Eukaryota; Metazoa; Chordata; Aves; Passeriformes; Cisticolidae. The transcript is spliced from 2 exons.